AACUGAUACUACCUGCGGGAACCUGCGGAAGGAUCAUUACCGAGUUAGGGUAGUCACUCACUGCCCGACCUCCCAACCCUGUGUCUACCACACUUUGUCGUUGCUUCGGCGGACCGGUUGACCAACUGGUCGUGACCGCCGGGGGCUGGCUCUGUCCCCCCUGGAGAGCGUCCGUCGAUGGCCCAACCACAAAACUCUUGUACCGAAACGUGUCGUCUGAAUUAUAUUUGAGAAAUCAAA
This 240-nucleotide unclassified non-coding RNA is filed under the name soil metagenome. RNAcentral's name for it is "partial contains 5.8S ribosomal RNA, internal transcribed spacer 2, and large subunit ribosomal RNA". The record is from RNAcentral.